UGGGCAGUAUCCGCUGGAACUGCACCUGAAAACGAUGUUUUGUAAAUAAACAGUCUGCCUUGAUCCAAAAAGGACUGGGACAGAGGG
Molecule: non-coding RNA, 87 nt
Organism: Bacillus glycinifermentans
Lineage: Bacteria; Bacillati; Bacillota; Bacilli; Caryophanales; Bacillaceae
Source: Rfam